CAACAGGGAUUGCCUUAGUAACGGCGAGUGAAGCGGCAACAGCUCAAAUUUGAAAGCUGGCUCCUUUGGAGUCCGCGUUGUAAUUUGUAGAGGAUGAUUCGGCAAGGGCUCCCGCCUAAGUCUCCUGGAACGGAGCGUCAUAGAGGGUGAGAAUCCCGUAUGCGGUGGGCUGCCUAAGCCAUGUGAAUCUCCUUCGACGAGUCGAGUUGUUUGGGAAUGCAGCUCUAAAUGGGAGGUAAAUUUCUUCUAAAGCUAAAUACCGGCCAGAGACCGAUAGCGCACAAGUAGAGUGAUCGAAAGAUGAAAAGCACUUUGGAAAGAGAGUUAAAAAGUACGUGAAAUUGUUGAAAGGGAAGCGCUUGCAGCCAGACUUGUCCGCAGUUGCUCAGCCGGUCUCCUGACCGGUGUACUCUUCUGCGGCCAGGCCAGCAUCAGUUCGGGCGGUCGGAUAAAGACCUCGGGAAUGUAGCUCCUCUCGGGGAGUGUUAUAGCCCGGGGUGGAAUGCGGCCAGCCUGGACUGAGGAUCUCGCUUCGGCUAGGAUGCUGGCGUAAUGGCUGUAAGCGGCCCGUCUUGAAACACGGACCAAGGAGUCUAACAUCUAUGCGAGUGGUUUGGGUGUCAAACCCAUGCGCGUAAUGAAAGUGAACGGAGGUGGGAACCCUCACGGGUGCACCAUCGACCGAUCCUGAUGUCUUCGGAUGGAUUUGAGUAARAGCAUAGCUGUUGGGACCCGAAAGAUGGUGAACUAUGCCUGAAUAGGGUGAAGCCAGAGGAAACUCUGGUGGAGGCUCGCAGCGGUUCUGACGUGCAAAUCGAUCGUCAAAUUUGGGUAUAGGGGCGAAAGACUAAUCGAACCAUCU
RNAcentral lists this ribosomal RNA (862 nucleotides) under Botryosphaeria dothidea. RNAcentral's name for it is "partial large subunit ribosomal RNA". Lineage: Eukaryota; Fungi; Ascomycota; Dothideomycetes; Botryosphaeriales; Botryosphaeriaceae. The record is from RNAcentral.